AUUAAAUUUUAUGAUGAUUUAUUAAUUAAUUACAUUUAUGUAUUAAUAUAAAAAAAUUUUUAUUAAAAAUUUGUUGUUUAAUUUAAUAAUUAAAUUUAAAAAAUUAAUGAAAGUUAAAUUUAGAAAAUAAAAUUAAUAAAGAUAAAUAUUGGUGCCAGCAAUAGCGGUUAAACCAAUUUUAUAAAUUAAUUAUUUUAAUUGAUAUUAAUAUAAUAUUUAAAUAAAUUUAAUUAAAUUUAAAUAUUUUAGGUGAAAUUUAAUUUUUAAAUAAAUUAAAUUUUUUAUUUAUAAAUAUAAUAAGAUAAAGCAAUAGACUAGGAUUAGAUACCCUAUUAUAUAAAAUAAUAAUGUUAGAUUUAUAAAUAAAUGUAUAAUCAUUAAAAUUAAAUUAUAUGGCGGCUUUUCAUUCUUAUUAGAGAAAUUUGUAGUUUAAUUUGAUGAUCCACGAUAAGAUUUACUUGAAUAUAAAUUUAUGUAUUGUUGUAUAUUUUUAUAUAAAAUUAUUUAUAAUUAAUAUUUAAUAAAAUUAAAAUUCAAAUCAAAAUGUAGUUUAUUUAAGGAUUUAUGAGUUAUAAUAAAUUUUAUUUAUGGAUAAUUAAAUUUUAAUAAUAAUUAGAAAGAGGAUUUAAAAGUAAAUUUAAUAAAUUAAUUAAUUUGAAAUUAGUUUUGAAAAGUGUACAAAUUGCCCGUCAAUUUCAAUUAUGAGGAAUAAGUCGUAACAUAGUAAAGAUAUUGGAAAAUGUUUUUAGAUAAAA
RNAcentral lists this non-coding RNA (755 nucleotides) under Bombus asiaticus. Lineage: Eukaryota; Metazoa; Arthropoda; Insecta; Hymenoptera; Apidae. The record is from RNAcentral.